Molecule: small RNA, 569 nt
Filed under: Histoplasma capsulatum
Lineage: Eukaryota; Fungi; Ascomycota; Eurotiomycetes; Onygenales; Ajellomycetaceae
Also listed under: 1 other name
Description: hypothetical RNA
Source: RNAcentral
UGACCCCGUGUCUGCAAUCGUCAAACAGGCAACCGUACAGCAGGAAUUAUCAUCGCAACACGAUGCAUCUGCCAGGGGGAUCUAUCGCAAAAGGCACGGGUGCGUGUAGGAUAGGCAUGUCGAGGCUUCUCCCUCAUGCGAUGCGACGUACUACCACUGUCUUGCCUUGCUUCCGGGGCACCUCCCGAUACUCGACAAGAGCCUGCGGAAACACAGGCAGAAACUCCCGCAUCACGAUUUACUCGUUAUCCUCUGCUCCAAACACUACUAUGUUAACAGCAGUGUCUCUUCGAUCGUGUCGCCAAACAAGGGAUUUCUCCUCCGCAUCACAAAAUGAGCGGCCAAAGGCAGAUGACUACAUCCAAGAACUCCAAGAUUUAUACGAGAUUGUAAAAGACGAGCUUGAAAUCGCCGCUGAAUCUACAGCUGCCGCGACCAUCUAUGCCGUCUCCGAUCGUAUUUCCCUGCGCGAAGCUUUUGACGACCUCGACCAUGCCUACUCAGCUUACACAGGCACUACACCGCAUCCAUCACGUCUUGAACGACCUGCCAACGCGGGACCGGCAGGA